RNAcentral lists this ribosomal RNA (251 nucleotides) under uncultured Gardnerella sp. RNAcentral describes it as "partial 16S ribosomal RNA". It matches the Rfam family "Bacterial small subunit ribosomal RNA", at positions 103 to 355 of the family's 1533-position model. Lineage: Bacteria; Bacillati; Actinomycetota; Actinomycetes; Bifidobacteriales; Bifidobacteriaceae. The record is from RNAcentral.
CGGGUGAGUAAUGCGUGACCAACUGCCCCAUGCUCCAGAAUAGCUCUUGGAAACGGGUGGUAAUGCUGGAUGCUCCAACUUGACGCAUGUCUUGUUGGGAAAGUGUUUAGUGGCAUGGGAUGGGGUCGCGUCCUAUCAGCUUGUAGGCGGGGUAAUGGCCCACCUAGGCUUCGACGGGUAGCCGGCCUGAGAGGGCGGACGGCCACAUUGGGACUGAGAUACGGCCCAGACUCCUACGGGAGGCAGCAGCC